This 301-nucleotide ribosomal RNA is filed under the name uncultured bacterium. Its description in RNAcentral is "partial 16S ribosomal RNA". It matches the Rfam family "Bacterial small subunit ribosomal RNA", at positions 509 to 807 of the family's 1533-position model. The record is from RNAcentral.
CAGUCGCCGCGGUAAUACGAAGGGGGCUAGCGUUGUUCGGAUUUACUGGGCGUAAAGCGCACGUAGGCGGAUCCUUAAGUCAGAGGUGAAGUCCCAAGGCUCAACCUUGGAACUGCCUUUGAUACUGGGGAUCUCGAGUUCGGGAGAGGUGAGUGGAACUGCGAGUGUAGAGGUGAAAUUCGUAGAUAUUCGCAAGAACACCAGUGGCGAAGGCGGCUCACUGGCCCGAUACUGACGCUGAGGUGCGAAAGCGUGGGGAGCAAACAGGAUUAGAUACCCCGGUAGUCCCUGUCUCUUAUAC